CUGGAACUGGCCAAGCAGCACAGCCUGCAGCUGGAUGUGUGGGGUUCCUGAAAUGGAAGAUAACCUCUGCCUCAGCUAAACUGAAAUAUGUUUAAAAGAAUAAUCUGUAUCCAACAUUAACUUAACAGUUAUCACUUUGAUUGAAAGAAAACCAGUGGUUUCCAUUUCAAGGGCUUUUGGAGAAAGGGAGAAGCUGGCAAGGCAGUGAAUGGCAAGAUUAGUGCGACAUCAGAUCUCAUCUGUUAAAUGCUACAUCUGAGCUGUUGAAUAGCCCAUUGCUCAGCUUCUCAUGAACAUUUUUUCAAUUCCAAGUUGCUGAGUGAACAAAGCAUGAACCGGCCGCUCACUGCUGGGACUUCCUCCAGAGGCGCUUGAGGUCCUAAGAAAAAUGAGUCGGAUGGUCUCAGCAAGCCCACCCUAGUGAACCAACAGCCCUGAUCAAGUGCAGAGACAGGCUCCAUGCAUCUCCUCCUGAUGGAGCUGGCAGAGAAAAUCGGACACUGGGACAAACAACCAUAAAUCAGGACUGUCCUGAUUAAAUCAGCCAUGGCUGGCAAGUGGUGACAUACAGCAGCAAGCGCCAAUGGUAACAUCACUUUCCAGCAAGCAAUUAGAAAAUCCAAGGACCUUUCCUUUUUCAUUGUCAAGCAAGCAAGCAAGUAAUGCUCUUCCCAAACCCUGAAAGAAACUAACCAAACACAAAACAAAAACCAUAAAACCCCACAAGCUAAGCGAACCAAAAAACCACCAAAUCCCCAAAACAGAAUAUUUUUCAUUUUAGCUUCACAAAUGUUAUUUUUCCCCCUCCAACGUUACUCAAAAGCAAAUGCAUUGACCAGAUGGGAAAAGUGAGGUACAGAAAGGAAGAAGAAGAAGAAGAAAAAAGAAUGCUGUGAAUGAAUCUCAUCUUACAAAUUAUCAGUGCAGAUGCAUUUAUCAAUUGGGAACACUGAAAAAUAAUGUGACGUAAAUCAGGAACAAAUGCCAGCUUUUCGAAGUUUUUCUAAAUCUGUAAUGGAGCAACUUCUAAAAUGUAAGUUUUGUGAUGUGUAGAUCCCCAUAUUCACUAUAUGUUACAACAUGGAUGAGGCAUUUUCAAUUUAGUAAAUAAACGAAACAGUGGCUACUUUUUUGAGAAUGUUUUGUGUCACGGUACUAAUUCCCUAUCCAUUUGAUAAGGAUGCAAUGAUUUCACGACAGUGUCAGUGCAGGUCUAUGGAAAAGACAUUAUGGUGUCAAAAUGAAAUGAAACAAUGUUAAUUUGUCUAUGGAAACUGCGUUAUGCUGCCAAAUUGAAACAGAACCCUUAACUCAGCCUCCUUGAGACUUGGCACAGCAGUCCCAUCAGAGGACCCCACGAUACAAGGUGAUUUUUACAGCAGCACACUGGGAAACUACAGAUCUGGGUUAAAUAUUACAUGAGAUUAGGCUAUUUCUUUUUUCAGCAGACUCGCAACUGUAUAGCAUUUCCUAAUAUGCUGCAAUGACUCCAAAAUGGGAAGAGACUGGGGGUCUCUUAAAUAGCAUUCUGGCAGCUUACCUCAGACUCCUUUUUGGUUUUUAGUGGUUGGCAGCCCCUCUCCUCCGUAACAUUCUAUUGCUGCAUGCUUUUGGGUGUGAAACGUUAUUAAGUUUUACAAUGUCCACGGCACCUAACCAACAUCUGGGACAUCUGAGCUCAAAUGAAACAAUGUUCUAAAUCUAAUUUCGAUUUGGACACCAGAACAAAACAUUUCUAGUACAACUAGAAUUUGAAUAUGAAGCACGGAGCUAGGGAAUACAAUAGUAAAAAAAGAAUGGCAAACACUCUGAAAUCAAAACACAGAAUCUG
Molecule: non-coding RNA, 1831 nt
Organism: Pelodiscus sinensis (Chinese soft-shelled turtle)
Lineage: Eukaryota; Metazoa; Chordata; Testudines; Trionychidae
Source: RefSeq, a predicted model, not a curated record